UUGUGGGCGAGUUUUUGUGGACGAAUUCUCAUGGACAAGGUUUCUCGUAGACAAUUUGUGGACACCAUAUAUGUGGACAAACAAAUUGGUAGACAAGAGAAGCGUUGAUAACAUGAUUUUAUCGAAUGUUAUAGAAAAUAAUUGCCUUCUUUGUCUGUCUAAGAAAAAAAUGAGAAUUGUUUAUUAACUUCUUGUAUACUCGAUUUAGAUAUUUAUAAAUUGAAUAAAGAAGAAAUUUUUUUGUGAAUCAAUGAAUUAUGGAUCUAAUUCGUCAUUUAGUAAAAUUUCUCUAUAAAAUCAUUCAUCAUUCAUCAUUAUCAUGAAACAACGAUUAAGCUUUUCUGUGGACACAAUUCAGUGGUCGAACACACUUCUGUGGACACAGUUUAUGUGGACGUGAAAAUGUUACAAAAUUUUCUGUGGACACCGUAUCUACCACCACCUUUUCCACCUCAUGUCUUCCACCUCAUAUUCACAUCCACCACCACAACAUCCACCAACACGGCAUCCACCACCACUUCCUCCUCCUCGCAUCUUCCACCUUUGUAUCCACAUCCACCACAACAGCAUCCACAGCCACGACAUCCACCACCACAUCCUCCUCCUCACGUCUUCCACCUCCGUAUCAACAUCCACCACCAUAGCAUCCACCAUCACGGCAUCCAUAAUCACCACCAGCUCUUCAUCCUCACGUCUUCCACCUCUGUAUCCACAUCCACCACAACGGCAUCCACCACCACCUCCUCCUCUCGAGUAGCCACCUCCACCACUGUUUUUACCCUCAUGAACCAAGAUAAAAAAUCAGACAAGAAAUUAACUUUCCAUAUAUGAAUCUGUUAGAUAUAUCUAUGAAAUUAGGAACAUAGAGUUAUGAUUGAGAAUGGAUUGGAGUUUCUGAAUUCAUGGUGUGACUCACCAAUGGUCGAGUAUGAAGAGUUGGCGGAACAGUUUCAGAUCGAACAAAAGCUAGAAGUGGAGACAUAAAGCUUCAACAAAGUGAUGGAGAUGUCGAAUUUGAGAAAGUGGAUUAGGGUUCGGAUCGAUCUGUAGUUUUAGUAGAAGUUGGUAAAGAGCCAAAAUUAGGGUUCAUAUCUGGGGGUAAUCGAUUUUGAAAAGGGGAUCUGUCUUACAAAAGUGAAAAAGAUUUUAUUAUAUUUCGAAAUUUUUUAUUUUCCUCACUAGUUUUCUAAUCGUUAUAAUGAAAAUGAGAAAAUCGGUUGGUUCAGUUUCUUGGUUUACGAUCUAGUUAGACACUUAUCCAAUAGUUAUUCUUUACAUAGAUAAGGGGUAGUUAUGACAAUUUACUAAGAGAAAGUGUCUACUUGGGCCAAAGUGUCUAUGAGAGUAAUUCAUAACUUGGAAUGUGUCUCUGAGAGUAAAUUUCUCUUAAAAAAUUCUAACAAAAUGAAUUCAGUUAGCAUUUAGCAGUGUGGUCAGACUUUGGCUACUUAUAAAAAACUACACUAUGUUUGCCUAAUUCGAGACAAUCAUUUAAUUUUAAAAUAUUAGAAUUUGAUGACACACUAUCUUAUAAAGUUGUAAUAAUAACUUUUAAUUUGAAUAAAAAUAAACUUAGGGACGUGAACAAAAGUAUUUAGACGAAGAAAUCAACAUUGAUACAACAAGCAGUUAUUUUACGGCAAAAAGUUAUUUUAACAAUUUUUUUCAACGAUUACUAUAUUAUCUUUAUUCUAUAGUCACCCACGAAGGUUGACUUGUGACAUUUGAAUCUGAACACGAUACCAAAAUUUCUCACGAGUAAGAGAGCAAGUUGUUUUGUCUUAAUUGCGGAUACACUUACUCCUCAAAUUAAAUACGGAGUAUAGUUUUUCCUCUUAUUGAAGACAUUAUAUUUUUAUUUUCUUUUUAUUAGAGUAACAUAAUUUUCGUUAUUUAUGUGCUUGUAAAUCAUCUGAUUCAUGCACUUAUAAAAAAUGUCUAUAUUAAGGCAGAGAUAAGAUCAAACAAAUACGUUUUCAAGAAAACGAAUCCUAAUUAAUGAUCCAGAAAAUUGGAAAACAUAAUUUGAAUUUUUUUUUUAAAGCAACAAUAAGAGAAUCACAAACAAAUGAAGCUCAGAUUGAUCCAAAAUCACUACUGACAAAUACCUAACCGAGAUAGAAGAGGCAGAAUGGACAAAAUAACAGCAUUCUGCAACCAUACAAUUGCCAAAUUAUAUAUAAACAUCCGAAAACAUAAUGAAAAGAAAAACGUACAUGAAUAUACAACAGUCUUCUUGUUAUGUGUGUGGGAUAUGAUAUGAUCAAGUGUUUAAGGUAUAUGUCAGAAGAGUGCAGAGAGAAAGGUCCUCUAGUUUCCUCUAUUUCUGGGGAAAAUGAAGAGAGAUGGAAGGAGAGGAAGUGAAAUGAGCGUUGAAGCUGUUGAUGAACAAGGACAAAGUGCAAGCGUUUUGAAACGACCAUUUAUAAGCGACUCUAUAAGAGAUAUUCCAUUUUAUGUUUCGGUAUAUUCUCCCUCUAGCGACGCCGUUUUCUAUCUUCAAUAUUUUUUCUCUCUUUUUAUUACAACUUUUAUUUCGCUGUAAUUAUUCUUUUAUUAUCUAAAAACAGCUGUUUUACUAUAAUAAUAAGUUCUUGUUUUGUACUUGUAAUUGACCAUGAACUGUACUUAGAUACGGAGGUUUUGAUGUAUUUUUAUAAUAUUAAAUUGGGAUCUUCAACAUUAAGUACAAUCACUAGAUACCUAUUCCCUGGCAUGCUAUUUAGGCAGAUAUAAGAUUUAAAUCAUAAUAGAGUCAAAAUAGGGGUUAAAAAAUGAGAGACUUACAUAAAAAGACACAUUGUGAGUUUUGUUUACUCUAUAAGACACAAAGCAACUUUGACACACUUUUUCCUGCCAGCUGUCUUUAUUGAGACGGAAAUAACCUUGGUUAUUACUAAAGAGAAAUAUACUUAUUUUAAGGAAGCAAACCGAAAAAGAACCAGUUACCUUGUAAUUGCAAUAAAGGAUAAAGCAAUAAAACAAAAAAUUAGAUAUAUGAGUUUAUGAGAAUAUAUCGUGAACGUCAGAUCAUUUUGAAGAAAGCAAAUCCAAUGAUCCGGAGAUGUGUUGAUUUGUGGGCGAGUUUUUGUGGACGAAUUCUCAUGGACAAGGUUUCUCGUAGACAAUUUGUGGACACCAUAUAUGUGGACAAACAAAUUGGUAGACAAGAGAAGCGUUGAUAACAUGAUUUUAUCGAAUGUUAUAGAAAAUAAUUGCCUUCUUUGUCUGUCUAAGAAAAAAAUGAGAAUUGUUUAUUAACUUCUUGUAUACUCGAUUUAGAUAUUUAUAAAUUGAAUAAAGAAGAAAUUUUUUUGUGAAUCAAUGAAUUAUGGAUCUAAUUCGUCAUUUAGUAAAAUUUCUCUAUAAAAUCAUUCAUCAUUCAUCAUUAUCAUGAAACAACGAUUAAGCUUUUCUGUGGACACAAUUCAGUGGUCGAACACACUUCUGUGGACACAGUUUAUGUGGACGUGAAAAUGUUACAAAAUUUUCUGUGGACACCGUAUCUACCACCACCUUUUCCACCUCAUGUCUUCCACCUCAUAUUCACAUCCACCACCACAACAUCCACCAACACGGCAUCCACCACCACUUCCUCCUCCUCGCAUCUUCCACCUUUGUAUCCACAUCCACCACAACAGCAUCCACAGCCACGACAUCCACCACCACAUCCUCCUCCUCA
Molecule: long non-coding RNA, 3682 nt
Filed under: Brassica napus (rape)
Lineage: Eukaryota; Viridiplantae; Streptophyta; Magnoliopsida; Brassicales; Brassicaceae
Description: long non-coding RNA (BNAP_LNC003964)
Source: RNAcentral